This 746-nucleotide ribosomal RNA is filed under the name Bacillus cereus. RNAcentral describes it as "bacterial SSU rRNA". It matches the Rfam family "Bacterial small subunit ribosomal RNA", at positions 40 to 769 of the family's 1533-position model. Lineage: Bacteria; Bacillati; Bacillota; Bacilli; Caryophanales; Bacillaceae. The record is from RNAcentral.
CGAGCGGGCUAUCAUGCAGUCGAGCGAAUGGAUUAAGAGCUUGCUCUUAUGAAGUUAGCGGCGGACGGGUGAGUAACACGUGGGUAACCUGCCCAUAAGACUGGGAUAACUCCGGGAAACCGGGGCUAAUACCGGAUAACAUUUUGAACCGCAUGGUUCGAAAUUGAAAGGCGGCUUCGGCUGUCACUUAUGGAUGGACCCGCGUCGCAUUAGCUAGUUGGUGAGGUAACGGCUCACCAAGGCAACGAUGCGUAGCCGACCUGAGAGGGUGAUCGGCCACACUGGGACUGAGACACGGCCCAGACUCCUACGGGAGGCAGCAGUAGGGAAUCUUCCGCAAUGGACGAAAGUCUGACGGAGCAACGCCGCGUGAGUGAUGAAGGCUUUCGGGUCGUAAAACUCUGUUGUUAGGGAAGAACAAGUGCUAGUUGAAUAAGCUGGCACCUUGACGGUACCUAACCAGAAAGCCACGGCUAACUACGUGCCAGCAGCCGCGGUAAUACGUAGGUGGCAAGCGUUAUCCGGAAUUAUUGGGCGUAAAGCGCGCGCAGGUGGUUUCUUAAGUCUGAUGUGAAAGCCCACGGCUCAACCGUGGAGGGUCAUUGGAAACUGGGAGACUUGAGUGCAGAAGAGGAAAGUGGAAUUCCAUGUGUAGCGGUGAAAUGCGUAGAGAUAUGGAGGAACACCAGUGGCGAAGGCGACUUUCUGGUCUGUAACUGACACUGAGGCGCGAAAGCGUGGACCCC